This is a small nucleolar RNA of Apodemus sylvaticus (European woodmouse), 131 nucleotides long. RefSeq annotates it as small nucleolar RNA SNORA17. NCBI's taxonomy places the organism in Eukaryota, Metazoa, Chordata, Mammalia, Rodentia, Muridae. The record is from RefSeq and is a predicted model, not a curated record. The transcript has a single exon.
CCUGAGCCUAGAGGCCUUGCAGGUGUGGCUGCUGUGUCACAUGUGCAUCAGUAGGUAGCAGAGAGGAGAGAGACUAUGUCUAUGCUAUGGGUUCUGACCUGUGACACCUGAAUGAUUAGUAGUCUAAUAUU